AGAAGCGUUGGGAGGAGGAGGAAGGGUGGGGGGGGGUCGGUUCGGAGCCGGGUCCGAACCGCCGGCGGAAAAGAGGUUCGGGCUGCCCGAGCGCUCGGGCGCCCGUCGGCAACGCUCCUUGGCGGAGUCCCGGUGUCGGCUGGGAUUCGUGAGAUCGCAGGCCUUCCUGUCAUCCUGGUCGGGGCCCACGGAGUUUGCGAUUUCUAGCCUAUUGGCGGAGGCGAUAUCACGUUGGGACCAAUGCAGCAACGCCAUGGCUAGACUCGUUCCAAUACUAUAACGUGCGGCCAUACCCUCAGCGCACAGACUUGACGGCUCACGGUCCCAGGUCUUUGACGUAGCAAGUCAAAUGCCCGGCACCUUCAGGUCUGAAACGGAGUUGUUCCCAUGAAGCCUCGCCCCUGAGAUGCCAGCAGCGCGGUGCCCUGAAGCCAGUUCACCUCGUUCUCAUCUGGGAAUGAGAGAGGCUUUCCUUUCUGCCCUCGCCUCGUUGUGUAAUGUUAUUAAACAGCUGACGCAUUGCCAGAGUGGGUGGCAUUUCAGCAGCGAGGGAAGAGGCCUGUCUUUGUGAAGCGUGCUGGGAUGCGUCGGGAUGAAUGGUGCUCUGCAAACCCCCAGCGCUAUUAUUGGCCGUCUCGCUCUGACUUACACCUGCUUGCCUCCGAGCUCUCAUGAGCUCAUGAGGCUCCUCCUUUCAUCCAGGGCAACUUUACAUUACAGCAGGGAGGCAGAACUCAGUCGAACCAGCUAAGACAUCAGGAGGACCCCAGCAGCGCACCAUGCUGAUGUCAACUGUCCCUUAUUUGGAUCCUGACUUGACAUGGACCCCAUGGCUUGAAUUAAAAAAAUCUCAGAUGGCUGCUUUAGUGAUCAGUUGGGAUCUGUUAAUUAAAUAAAAGCCAGCUCCAUUGUAA
Long non-coding RNA from Alligator sinensis (Chinese alligator), 914 nucleotides. RefSeq lists it as uncharacterized. NCBI's taxonomy places the organism in Eukaryota, Metazoa, Chordata, Crocodylia, Alligatoridae. The record is from RefSeq and is a predicted model, not a curated record. The transcript has 2 exons.